Equus caballus (horse) is the source of this 420-nucleotide long non-coding RNA. RefSeq lists it as uncharacterized. NCBI's taxonomy places the organism in Eukaryota, Metazoa, Chordata, Mammalia, Perissodactyla, Equidae. The record is from RefSeq and is a predicted model, not a curated record.
AUGAACCCAAGUAUAGCUGGAUGACCAAGGAGCCCUCUUCCAUCUGACUGAAUCUCAUCCAAUUUUGAGGGGAGGAGCCUGCAUGGAGAGCAAACUCUGGGGUAAAAUUACAUGAUCUCACUGCCUGAAGGAUACCAGGCUUAGGUGCAGAGUCACAAAAGUGAAACUGUGCACCUACUACCCGCCAGGAAAUGAACCAGGCCAUGAGAACACAAAACAGGCAGACACAGACGGCCCUUGAGUUCACGGAAAGCAGAUUCUCAUGCAGAUCACAUUAACCUCACAGGGCAAACAAGAGAUUAAAGUGCUGGGAAUAGGGAUACCAGACUUGAGAGUUGGAGAGCUUGCCCCUGACCUCUGUCUAUCAUCAUAAAGAAUACACCAUAAGAAGACGUAGUUCAGGAAAUGAAACUAGAGGCA